GCUUAACACAUGCAAGUCGAGGGGCAGCAUGGUCUUAGCUUGCUAAGGCCGAUGGCGACCGGCGCACGGGUGAGUAACACGUAUCCAACCUGCCGUCUACUCUUGGACAGCCUUCUGAAAGGAAGAUUAAUACAAGAUGGCAUCAUGAGUCCGCAUGUUCACAUGAUUAAAGGUAUUCCGGUAGACGAUGGGGAUGCGUUCCAUUAGAUAGUAGGCGGGGUAACGGCCCACCUAGUCUUCGAUGGAUAGGGGUUCUGAGAGGAAGGUCCCCCACAUUGGAACUGAGACACGGUCCAAACUCCUACGGGAGGCAGCAGUGAGGAAUAUUGGUCAAUGGGCGAGAGCCUGAACCAGCCAAGUAGCGUGAAGGAUGACUGCCCUAUGGGUUGUAAACUUCUUUUAUAAAGGAAUAAAGUCGGGUAUGCAUACCCGUUUGCAUGUACUUUAUGAAUAAGGAUCGGCUAACUCCGUGCCAGCAGCCGCGGUAAUACGGAGGAUCCGAGCGUUAUCCGGAUUUAUUGGGUUUAAAGGGAGCGUAGAUGGAUGUUUAAGUCAGUUGUGAAAGUUUGCGGCUCAACCGUAAAAUUGCAGUUGAUACUGGAUAUCUUGAGUGCAGUUGAGGCAGGCGGAAUUCGUGGUGUAGCGGUGAAAUGCUUAGAUAUCACGAAGAACUCCGAUUGCGAAGGCAGCCUGCUAAGCUGCAACUGACAUUGAGGCUCGAAAGUGUGGGUAUCAAACAGGAUUAGAUACCCUGGUAGUCCACACGGUAAACGAUGAAUACUCGCUGUUUGCGAUAUACAGCAAGCGGCCAAGCGAAAGCGUUAAGUAUUCCACCUGGGGAGUACGCCGGCAACGGUGAAACUCAAAGGAAUUGACGGGGGCCCGCACAAGCGGAGGAACAUGUGGUUUAGUUCGAUGAUACGCGAGGAACCUUACCCGGGCUUAAAUUGCAGAUGAAUUACGGUGAAAGCCGUAAGCCGCAAGGCAUCUGUGAAGGUGCUGCAUGGUUGUCGUCAGCUCGUGCCGUGAGGUGUCGGCUUAAGUGCCAUAACGAGCGCAACCCUUGUUGUCAGUUACUAACAGGUUCCGCUGAGGACUCUGACAAGACUGCCAUCGUAAGAUGUGAGGAAGGUGGGGAUGACGUCAAAUCAGCACGGCCCUUACGUCCGGGGCUACACACGUGUUACAAUGGGGGGUACAGAGGGCCGCUACCACGCGAGUGGAUGCCAAUCCCAAAAACCUCUCUCAGUUCGGACUGGAGUCUGCAACCCGACUCCACGAAGCUGGAUUCGCUAGUAAUCGCGCAUCAGCCACGGCGCGGUGAAUACGUUCCCGGGCCUUGUACACACCGCCCGUCAAGCCAUGGGAGCCGGGGGUACCUGAAGUGCGUAACCGCGAGGAGCGCCCUAGGGUAAAACUGGUGACUGGGGC
This 1431-nucleotide ribosomal RNA is filed under the name uncultured organism. Its description in RNAcentral is "16S ribosomal RNA". It matches the Rfam family "Bacterial small subunit ribosomal RNA". The record is from RNAcentral.